GUUUUCUUGUCAAGUUUAUGUAGUGAUCUGCUACCUCUUUCCCUGGUUUAUUCCAAUUCGCUAGGUAUUGGAUCUUCCAUAGGUUCCCAGCUCGAUGAGGGAAAGGAGAUGUUGUUGAAGGAAUCUCAGCCAUUCUUCCACCAUAAGGAUUGAAAUUCAGUGAUGUAUCCACCAACUCAAUCAUCUUCCUCCAAAUCCCUUCCAAACCCUCUUUGGAAAUUGAUUUCUUAACAUAAUCAGAUUUCCUUUUCAAGUAGUUGACUGAUUGUGGUUGUCUAUUAAGCAAAACCUCAACCGGAGCUGUGAUGUUGAUGUUUGUCCAAAACAGCACUGAACCAAGCCAGCUUGUUUCGAUGCAAUCGGAUUGCUUCAAACCCAAUUGAGGGAACUUGUCAUUCAAGAGAGAAACAAGGCUUUUGGAGUCACCAAGGAAUAGAGCUACGAAGGUUGCUCUUAUAGUCUUUGUUUCAUUUUGUGUAACGUUCACAACGUUCAAGACAAGUCUAAUGAAAAGGUUGUUGUUGAUGGUUGGUGCAACAUGCUGCCAAUUAUAAACUAUGUCAGUGGCAUUUUGCUCCAGCGUUUUCGGAACCCGGAAAACAGUGACUGUUUCGGGAACUCGAACUAGUUUUAUUUUGUAGGCAAGAACCACACCAAAACUAGCUCCACCACCACCUGUGAUGGCCCAAAAGAGAUCUUCACCCAUUGAUUUUCUAUCAAGUAAUCUACCUUGAACAUCAACCAUUAGUGCAUCAAUAACAUUAUCCACUGAGAGACCAUAUUUUCUCAUCAUGUUGCCAUAGCCACCACCACUUAUGUGUCCUCCUACCCCAACAGUGGGACAAACCCCUGCUGGGAAAGCAUGAAUUUUACUCUUCUCAGCAAUUCUGUAAUAAACUUCACCAAGCGUUGCACCGGCUUCGACCCACGCUGUCUCGGUUUUCAUGUCAAUCUCAAUGGAUCGAAGAUUGAACAUGUCAAGGAUGAAGAGUGGCUGUGAAGCCACAUAAGACAACCCUUCGUAGUCAUGGCCACCACUUCGGAUUUUCAUCAGCAAUUUGUGCUUUUUUGCACAAACAAUGGCUGCUUGCACAUGGGAAACAUGAGAAGGGGUCACUAUAAGGAAUGGCUUCCGGGUUGUGGAGGUGUUGAAACGAAGGUUUCUGAUGUAGGCUUCCAAGACUGAAGAGAAUAAGGAGUUGUUUGGUGUGAAAAUUGCUGAUGUUAUGGGGUAAGAGGGCUCUGAGUUGUUUAGAAGGCAUUGAACAAAAGUGUUGGGAGCUGAAUUUGCAGCUGAAGCUGACCAAGGAAUAGAAAGCAACACGACAAUGGAAAAGAAUGAUAGUUGGAUUCUAUGAGGAGAAAGGACUCCCAUUUUUGCUUAUAUUAAUGAUGGUGUUAGAAUAACAAAGAAAAGAGGAUUCCUAGUGAGUCUAUUUGGCUUGAUCGGUAUUGGAUUUUAUAAGGAUCGGGCAGAAAUGUCAAAGAUAAAUCAUAAAUGAGAAGGUGGCUUAGGGUUACAGUCGGAGAAACAAAAUAGGUAACUUAACUCAGUUAUUCUUUGACCUUGCAAAUGCACUUUUUUUAUUUCUGAAAGGAAAAUGGUACAAGGUACAUCUCAAUUGUUUUUGGAUGUACGAGUGAAAAAGGAAGGUAGAGAGAGAGAAAAGAAGAAGAAAAAAGAGUGAGAGAGAUAAACGGAGGUAUUAAUAAAGUGUUGGCCUCAAAAAUCUCUUCCUGCUGGCAAUUUGUCUUACUUUGUAAUAAGCAAAUUUUAUUUUGGUAAUUAAUGAAGGUGUUAAUAUUGUUUGAUUUUAAAGGUCAACUUUAAAAAAUCUUACAAUUUGUGAGUUGAGAAUUGAGAUUUCUUAAAUUAUAUGAUGACUAGGCUUGGUUUUUGUCAAAAAUGGAGGGGUUGGCUGCUUUUGUUUCUAUCAUGGUUAAAGGCAACUCAUCUAAUGAAAUAUCGUUGUCAAAACUCAAAAGGUCUAAGAUAGUGUGAUGCCGUUGCUCCUUUUGACUAAGUGAUUAAAUGAAAAGGGUAAUGGAGAUUGGAAAUAUUUCUGGUUUUAAGGUGGGAGGAGUAAUUAAGUGAGAUGUAUUUUCUACGAUAUGUUGAUGAUGAUACUUAUUAUUUGCGAUCUAGCUAUCUCCGAAUUUAGUCACUAACUAAAUAAAGGUUGUUUUUAGAAGGAGAAAUGCUAUAUAUAUCCUCCGCCAGAAACCUUCUGACGCAAUAAAAAAUUUAUACCUGUCUCUAAUUUUACUAAUAAAUAUUCAUUUAAUUUAACAUUUAAAAUAUAAAUAUUCUUUCCAGAAUUACCCUUCCUCACGUGAUCGCACCCUUGUUACAUGUACAACAGAUUUGAGAGGUGUGGGGCCCUUAACGUAGACACGCAUGUUGAGAGGUGUGUCAAAAGCUAACAUGAAAUGCAAAAACAAGUCAAAGGAGAAAGCUGUUCUUUAGUUAACAUGAUACUCUUGGAUACAUGUUAAUAGCACAAGAAAUACGUAAAAUGCAGCAAAGCAAGGUUUCCAUUUCGUUUCAUAAUGGUUAGGUGCCAUUAUGCAUAAUAAUUAUAUGUGAGGAGUGAAGAGUAACAUGUUAACUAAAGAACAGAAAAAAAUUACUAAUAUAUUUUUAUGACAUUUUAUUAGAUGUUAUGUAUAGUCUAUCAAGAUGUAUACCUAAUAUUUGAUAAAAUAUCUCAAAAGUAUACUAGUAACAUUUAUCUAUAUUUGACCAUUUUUUUAAAAUAUUGUAAAAAAAUAGUAAUACUUUUAUUAGAUAUCAGACAAAAAAAUUUUAUUAAAGGUUAUAGUAAUGUAUUUACAACUCUUCACAUGACACUUCCUUAACAAAAAUUCUGGAUUUAUGCUUGUGAUUAUUGAAUUAUUGUGCAUAUACAUUAAUUACAGAUGAGGAACAUAUUGGUAACAAAAAGGCGCUUGAUUUAUCCUCCAUUUGCAACAAAUUAAAAGCUAGUUUGCUAUUAAAAGUGGCAGGACUCCUUGUUAAUUGCACCAUUGAUUAAAAUUUUAAUCAUUAAAUUAAUUUAUUUCAUUCUAUUAACUUCCUAAACCUUCCGAUUUCUUAAAUUUUCCUUCAAGUGAAGAACUUCCACAUAUACCACCAACUAGAAGCCCACCAAGAGUCUAAAAUCACAAAUAAUAACUUAUGGAAAUUCCAAAAGUGUGCCAAAAUUAAAUUUUGGGUAGAAACCACAUGUGUCUACAUCUUACAAUAGUCCUUCACCCAUGUGUAAUCAUACAAAAUCUGGUAGCAUCAACAAGUCAAGAAAUCAAGUCAAACAAGUCGUUUUUCAACAAAAUACAUACAUUAAAAUUAAUAAUUAAAUGUAAAAAAAAAACAUUUGAAACACAUUUAUACUACAAAUAUAUAAUCAUGCUAGUAACAAAAAAUUUGAUUUUUGUAAAAAGGAAAAUUAUGCAUAUGAACGCUUGUCCUUAGAAGUUUUUUUGGGAUACAUUACUCGAAAAAUGAUUACUAAUGAGGGUAAAUUUCAUCACUAAAAAUAUCAAAAAUCCGUCACUAACGUAGUCUGUGACGUAAUUUGUGAUGAAUAUCAUUUCUGUCACAAAAAUUAACAUUGCAAAAUUUUAUCAUGGGAUAUUUUAUAAUCUGUCGCAAACUGUGACUAAAUAUACCCGUCACAAAUAUACAAAUUUCAUCACUAUAAACUGAUAAUAAAGGAAACAUUUAUAUAUAUAUAUAUAUAUAUAUCCAUCGCUAUUUAUGAUAGAUUAUAAAUCCCUCAAAUUUACAAAGAACAAAAUUUGUCACAAACAAAAGGAAUUUUUAGAUUUCUUGUUCUUAAUGAGAAAAUUUGUUCCUUUAAAUUUGUGAGGGUUCAAAUCUCUCAUUGUUUGGGACGGAAUUGUCCCUCACAAAUUUAGAAGAAAUUUUAAUUAUCUAUCUAGUUUGUGAGGUUUCAUUUUUAUUUGCUUAGAUGACUGGAUAUCUAAAAAAUAAAUUAGAAUGAAAUAAAAAUAAAAACAAAUCUUUACUAAUUAAUAAAGGAUUCAGAAGCUGAUAAUUUGAAAUUGUAUUUAAUUAGUAUUUAUAUAUGAAUGAUUAUAUUAAUUUAAAAUUAAUUAACAGAUUUAAUUUGAUUAAAGUUUUAGUUACAGAAAGUUAAUAAAUAGUAUAGUAAUUAAUAUUUUUAGAUUUUUUUGAUACGUUAUUUUCAAAGAUUCUAAAUAUUUUUCAAUGUAAAGACCAAAAAAUUACAGUAAUAAGCUUACAUUACAUGGUUCGAAGAAAUCACAUUAUAAUUAAAAGUAACACAUAAACUAAUAAAAUAGGCUUAAUUAUAUAAUUAAUUCCUUAAUUAAAUUAAAAAUUCAAUUGGGUCUUUUAAUUAUUAAAAAAUUCAAUUAGAUUGUUUGAUUGUUUAUAAAUUCUUCAAUUGAGUCUCUCAAUUAUUAAAAUUUUUAAUCAGAAAACUAGAAUCAUACCAUAAAUUCUUUAGUUUGAUCGACAAAAGUUUUAUAAAUAAACAUUUUUAUAUCAAUUGUAUUGAUUAUUGAUGUAAAAAAUAUAUCUAUUCACAUCGAUGAAAGAUCUUAAUAAGUACUUUGUUUUUACAUGGAUUGUAUUGAUAAGCAAAGUAAAAAAAUUCUUGUUUAUGUCAAUUAUAUUGAAAAUUGAUGUAAAAAUAUUUAUUUUUAUCAAUCAAAAUAAUAGAGUUGACAAAAAAGUACGAUAGUGUUUUUAAAUAAUUGAAUGAUGUAAUUCAACUUUUUAAAAUUAAGGAAUCAAAUUAAAAUAUUUUUAAGCAAUUGAAGGAUCUAAUUUAACUCUUUAAUAAUUGAAAAAUCAAUUAUAUAUUUAAGCCAAUAAAAUAAUAUAUUUAAUAAUUUGUUUUACUGAAUUCUAACCGUCUUUUUAUCAUCCUUAAUUUAAGUAAUUUUUUUAUUUACCCACGCAUGGCAUGGAGCCAUAUCUAGUUGAACUUACAUCUAACAAGCUUUAACACCAAGUUAUUUAUUUCCACAAUCCAAUUUAUUACAGACAAACAAAGCAACAACAAACCAUAGAAAAAACUAAUCUUUGAAUACAAAAAAGAAAAAGAAAAUAUUAGUCACCAUUAUUCUAACCCUUCCUAUAUGACAGCGUAGGGAUGCUUUGUUCGUUCCUAAAGAAAUUAUGGGGAUCAACCUUGGUCUUUAUUUGAACCAACCUGUCGAAGUUAUCCUUGAAAUACUCCACUCCAUAAACUCUCCCUUCAGCGUAGCUGUUUUUACCAUUGUGGUUAAUCCCCAAGUCAAGGUCCUUAUAAUUGUAGAAAGCCUCUCUAGGGUUCUUGGAGACAAAAGGAGUCAUGAACUUGUGAAGUUUUCUUGUCAAGUUUAUGUAGUGAUCUGCUACCUCUUUCCCUGGCUUAUUCCAAUUCGCUUGGUAUUGGAUCUUCCAUAGGUUCCCAGCUCGAUGAGGGAAAGGAGAUGCUGUUGAAGGAAUCUCAGCCAUUCUUCCGCCAUAAGGAUUGAAUUGAAAUAGUGUAUCCUCCAACUCAAUCAUCUUCUUCCAAAUCCCUUCAAAACCCUCUAUGGAAAUCGGUUUCUUCAC
Molecule: long non-coding RNA, 5590 nt
Filed under: Glycine max (soybean)
Lineage: Eukaryota; Viridiplantae; Streptophyta; Magnoliopsida; Fabales; Fabaceae
Description: long non-coding RNA (GMAX_LNC003409)
Source: RNAcentral